Molecule: long non-coding RNA, 199 nt
Organism: Mauremys reevesii (Reeves's turtle)
Lineage: Eukaryota; Metazoa; Chordata; Testudines; Geoemydidae
Exons: 3
Source: RefSeq, a predicted model, not a curated record
UCUUUUAAUGUAGAAAGCUAAUGCUCUGCAAAUGUCUGUGCGGAUGCAUCCCUUCCAUCUGCAUGUGGUUUUGGAAAAAACACAGGCCGUCUCAACAACCACCUUGAAGAACCUGCACAAGAUUACCCAGAAUUCAUUGUUUUGCCCCAAGAGUCAGGAUGACCCCAAUGGUUCCUUUCCUAGUGUGCUGGCUCCAGGU